Long non-coding RNA from Olea europaea var. sylvestris, 796 nucleotides. RefSeq lists it as uncharacterized. The transcript is spliced from 2 exons. NCBI's taxonomy places the organism in Eukaryota, Viridiplantae, Streptophyta, Magnoliopsida, Lamiales, Oleaceae. The record is from RefSeq and is a predicted model, not a curated record.
AAAUGGGUUUAUUGCUUUUGUUCUUUUAUCGAAAUGGGUUUAUUUACUCUGUAUUCUGUACCUGUGACUGCCACCCAAUAUAGUUUAAAUCCAUUGAAAAUGUAGAUUAUUGGGAAAUGGUUUUUUUAUUUUUUAUUUUUUUCCCGGUUUUGUUCUGUAUAUGGUUGUGAUCUAUUUGCCUCUUGCUUGAUCGAUCAAUUAUAUGGUUAGAUUGUGAAAUUCUAGGAAGUAGGUUAGGAUGUGAAUGAACCUGUUAAUACAACCGACUCUAUCAUUGAAGAUUAGACAUGGCAGAGGAAGAACUGAAGUGUAUUGCUGAAUAUGUGGUAUGCAAAGUUUUGCUUUUUAUUUACUAUGUGCCACAUUGUAUAUUCUGAUAUGAUAUAGAAGAUUAGUAUAAAAAUUUCAAAUUUUCCUCUUCAUACUCGAGCCCUUGCCCAGGGGAAGGAGAAUCUAACCUAUGUAGAGGAGAAAUCAAAAGGAAGGGUUGCUGAUUUCAGGCCAAAUAUUCUUAUGCUUGGACUUCCUCCUCCUGAUUAUGUUCUGCACACAGUUUCCAACUUUCACACUAAUGAUUUGGAGCAGACAUUGCUAGUAGUGCUGUGAUAUUCGUACAUUGAAGCAAUCUAACUUGUGUGUUGUUUGAUGGAUAAUUUCUUAUUGUCAUCAAUGGAAUUAUAUCUAUUGUACAUUCGUUGUGUUUGUAUCAGAAAUUUCUAUCCAUCAAUUGUAUCACUGCUUCUAUUAGUUUGAAAACAAUGAACUCCUAUGAAAUAUCCAUAUACCCCUUCAACCA